GGAUGACAGCCACACUGGAACUGAGACACGGUCCAGACUCCUACGGGAGGCAGCAGUGGGGAAUAUUGCACAAUGGGGGAAACCCUGAUGCAGCAACGCCGCGUGGAGGAAGAAGCAUUUAGGUGUGUAAACUCCUUUUAUCAAGGAAGAAGAUGACGGUACUUGAUGAAUAAGCACCGGCUAACUCCGUGCCAGCAGCCGCGGUAAUACGGAGGGUGCAAGCGUUACUCGGAAUCACUGGGCGUAAAGCGCAUGUAGGCGGUUGUUUAAGUUAGAAGUGAAAGCCUACGGUCAACCGUGGAACAGCUUCUAAAACUGAAUGACUAGAGUCUGGGAGAGGAAGAUGGAAUUAGUAGUGUAGGGGUAAAAUCCGUAGAGAUUACUAGGGAAUACCGAAAGCGAAGGCGAUCUUCUGGAACAGGACUGACGCUGAGAUGCGAAAGCGUGGGGAGCAAACAGGAUUAGAUACCCUGGUAAGUCCACGCCCUAAACGAUGAAUGUUAGUCGUUGGAGUGCUAGCCACUUCAGUGAUGCAGCUAACGCAUUAAACAUUCCGCCUGGGGAGUACGGCCGCAAGGUUAAAACUCAAAGGAAUAGACGGGGACCCGCACAAGUGGUGGAGCAUGUGGUUUAAUUCGAAGAUACGCGAAGAACCUUACCUGGCCUUGACAUAUACCAGAACCUGCCAGAGAUGGUGGGGUGCCUUCGGGAACUGGUAUACAGGUGCUGCACGGCUGUCGUCAGCUCGUGUCGUGAGAUGUUGGGUUAAGUCCCGCAACGAGCGCAACCCUCGUGACUAGUUACUAACAGCAUAGGCUGAGGACUCUAGUCAGACUGCCUUCGUAAGGAGGAGGAAGGUGGGGACGACGUCAAGUCAUCAUGGCCCUUACGGCCAGGGCGACACACGUGCUACAAUGGGGAGGACAAUGAGAAGCGAAAUCGCGAGAUGGAGCAAAUCUAUAAACCUUCUCUCAGUUCGGAUUUGCAGUUUUGCAAACCUUCCGGAACCUUGCCAAUGGAAAGCCUGGGAAAUCAAUUAAGUAAAUCCGUGAAAUCCAGCCCAUGUCCACGGGUGAAUACGUUCCCGGGUCUUGUACUCACCGCCCGUCACACCAUGGGAGUUGAUUUCACCCGAAGCGGGGAUGCUAAAUAGGCUACCCGCCACGGUGGCAUUCAGCGACUGGGGUGAAGUCGUAACAAGGUAACCGUAGGAGAACCUGCGGCUG
This 1226-nucleotide ribosomal RNA is filed under the name epibiont metagenome. RNAcentral describes it as "bacterial SSU rRNA". It matches the Rfam family "Bacterial small subunit ribosomal RNA", at positions 298 to 1520 of the family's 1533-position model. The record is from RNAcentral.